Molecule: unclassified non-coding RNA, 3770 nt
Filed under: Cimex lectularius (bed bug)
Lineage: Eukaryota; Metazoa; Arthropoda; Insecta; Hemiptera; Cimicidae
Description: plasma membrane calcium-transporting ATPase 3, transcript variant X12
Source: RNAcentral
GCACGGCUGCAUACCUCCGAGUAAUUUCCGUCUGAGUAGUCGUCCCGACCCGAGUCCGGCGUGGGCUUCGCACGUGCUUCGACCUCACUCAAUUGUUCUGUUAAUGGGCAUAUUCCGUCCAGGGGGAGGAGGUGAAAAUAGAGUAUCAAAGUCACAAAUCAUUGCGGCUUGCCUAGUGUCUAAUAUGAUACCCUGUGGGCUAUCACAAGUCGCCUCAAUGACCCGAUGAUAAGAACCGUUCAGGCUAACUGUAGCACUUCAUUAUGGCGACGGUAGAUGGGCGUCCAGCCCAAUAUGGAAUCUCCCUCAAACAGCUACGCGAGCUCAUGGAGCAUCGCGGGCGAGAGGGAGUAUCGAAAAUUCAGGAGUUAGGAGGUGUGCAAGAAAUUUGUAAAAAAUUAUAUACAUCUCCUAGUGAAGGGCUCAGUGGAUCUCAAACCGACAUGGCACAUAGACGAGAGACAUUCGGCUCAAACACUAUCCCCCCUAAACCUCCAAAGACUUUCCUUCAAUUAAUUUGGGAAGCUCUUCAAGAUGUUACGCUUAUAAUUCUUCAAAUAGCUGCAAUCGUAUCAUUAGGGUUAUCUUUUUAUAAACCGGCGGAUGAACAAGACGCAGCAGUUCCUGAUGAUGAGGAGGGUAUACAUGGAUGGAUUGAAGGUCUGGCAAUUCUGAUAUCAGUAAUUGUAGUUGUCAUUGUAACGGCAUUCAAUGAUUAUACGAAAGAAAGACAAUUUAGAGGCCUGCAAGGUAGAAUCGAAGGAGAACAUAAAUUUUCAGUCAUUCGGAAAGGAGAAGUUGAACAAAUAUCAGUUGGAGACAUCGUAGUAGGUGAUAUAUGCCAGAUCAAGUAUGGUGAUCUUUUACCUGCUGAUGGAAUAUUAAUACAGAGUAAUGACCUUAAAAUAGAUGAAUCAUCAUUAACUGGUGAAUCAGAUCAUGUGAAAAAAGGGGAAUCGUUUGAUCCAAUGGUGCUAUCAGGAACACACGUUAUGGAAGGUAGCGGGAAAAUGGUUGUCGCCGCUGUGGGUGUAAAUUCACAGGCUGGAAUAAUUUUUACAUUGUUGGGAGCUGCUGUCGACGAACAAGAACAAGAAAUAAAGAAGAAACGAAAAGAAGCAAAAAAGAACCGCAAGAAGAAGAGUUUAUCAGGUGAUGAGGAAGCUCCAGUAACAGGAAAUAGUCACAUGGGGGCUGUCGGUACCGUAAGAACACAUGAGGUACCACAAAAUGCCGGUGAUGCCGCUCCGAAAAAAGAACGCGAAGAAGAUCAUUCGAAAAAAGAAAAAUCAGUAUUGCAAGCCAAAUUAACAAAACUUGCCAUUCAAAUCGGUUAUGCAGGUUCUACCAUUGCUGUCCUUACGGUUGUUAUACUUGUUAUCCAGUUCUGUGUGAAAACAUUUGUAAUAGAAAAUAAACCAUGGAAGAACGUUUAUGCCAAUGAAUUUGUGCGUCAUUUUAUUAUUGGUGUGACUGUAUUAGUCGUUGCCGUACCAGAGGGCCUGCCAUUGGCUGUUACACUAUCAUUAGCGUAUUCUGUCAAAAAAAUGAUGAAAGAUAACAAUCUUGUAAGGCAUUUGGAUGCAUGUGAAACGAUGGGAAACGCCACUGCCAUUUGUUCUGAUAAAACGGGUACUUUGACCACCAACAGGAUGACUGUUGUUCAAUCGUAUAUCUGUGAAGUUUUGAGCAAAACAAUACCCAAAUUUUCAUCCAUACCCACAAAUGUUGGAAACCUGCUGAUCCAAGCAAUUUCCAUCAAUUCUGCCUAUACAUCUCGCAUAAUGCAACCAGAAGAACCCUCUGAGCUUCCCAAACAAGUAGGUAAUAAGACUGAAUGUUCCCUAUUGGGAUUUGUACAAGCAUUAGGAAAAAACUAUCAAACUAUCCGAGACGACAUGCCUGAGGAAAUGUUCACAAGGGUGUAUACCUUCAAUUCUGUGAGAAAAUCAAUGUCUACUGUGAUACCACGACAAGGAGGAGGCUAUCGACUAUUUACAAAAGGCGCAUCAGAAAUUGUGCUUAAAAAGUGUGCAUUUAUAUACGGUAGAGAUGGCCAUUUAGAAAAGUUUACUCGGGAAAUGCAAGAAAGGCUAGUACGCAAUGUAAUCGAACCUAUGGCAUGUGACGGACUGAGGACAAUAUCAAUAGCAUAUCGCGACUUUGUUCCCGGCAAAGCGGAAAUAAAUCAGGUCCACUACGAUUCAGAGCCGAAUUGGGACGAUGAGGAAUACACUGUCAACAACCUGACCGCGAUCUGUGUCGUCGGUAUUGAAGAUCCUGUCCGACCUGAGGUACCAGAUGCUAUUAAGAAAUGUCAGCGAGCGGGAAUAACUGUCCGUAUGGUUACUGGUGAUAACAUAAAUACAGCCAGAUCUAUAGCGACAAAAUGUGGAAUUUUGAAACCAGGGGAAGAUUAUCUUAUUCUAGAAGGCAAAGAAUUCAAUAGAAGAAUACGUGACUCAAAUGGAGAAGUUCAACAGCAUUUGCUCGAUAAGGUGUGGCCGAGAUUAAGAGUAUUGGCAAGGUCAUCUCCAACGGACAAAUAUACUUUAGUUAAAGGAAUAAUAGACAGUAAAUCAACUGAGAGUAGGGAAGUUGUUGCUGUAACUGGUGACGGAACAAAUGAUGGGCCUGCACUGAAGAAGGCUGAUGUCGGGUUUGCAAUGGGAAUUGCUGGGACUGAUGUUGCCAAAGAGGCUUCAGAUAUUAUUUUAACAGAUGAUAACUUCAGCAGCAUUGUAAAAGCCGUGAUGUGGGGAAGGAACGUUUACGAUAGUAUCGCCAAGUUCCUACAAUUCCAGCUGACCGUUAACAUUGUAGCUGUAAUAGUAGCAUUUAUCGGAGCGUGCGCAGUUCAAGACAGUCCACUGAAGGCUGUUCAAAUGCUGUGGGUCAACCUUAUCAUGGACACUCUUGCGUCUUUAGCAUUGGCGACGGAAAUGCCGACUCCUGAUUUGCUCCUUCGAAAACCUUACGGCCGUACAAAACCCCUUAUUUCGAGAACUAUGAUGAAAAACAUUCUUGGCCAAGCUAUUUAUCAAUUAACAGUUGUAUUUUCUCUUCUGUUUAUUGGUGAUACGCUGCUGGAUAUACCUUCUGGGCGUGGUGCCGAACUCGGAUCUGGACCAACAGAGCAUUUCACUAUUAUUUUUAAUACAUUUGUAAUGAUGACUUUAUUUAACGAAAUUAAUGCUCGCAAAAUCCAUGGCCAAAGAAAUGUAUUCGAAGGGUUUUUCACUAAUCCAAUAUUCUACUCAAUAUGGGUUGGCACACUUUUAGCUCAGGCUUUCAUAGUACAAUUUGGUGGAGCUGCAUUUUCCACCCAUGCUUUAACACUGGAACAAUGGUGUUGGUGCCUUUUCUUCGGUUUUGGAACUUUACUGUGGAGUCAAAUCGUUACAACAGUUCCAACAAGGAAAAUUCCAAAAAUAUUUUCAUGGGGCAGAGGACACCCUGAUGAAUAUGCAGAAACAAUGCAUUUAGGUGAGGAAAAAUUUGAUCCAGAUAGUGACAAGAAACCUAGAGCCGGACAAAUUUUGUGGAUAAGGGGACUAACUAGGUUGCAAACUCAGAAUUUUGUGGCGGAUACGUGGCCUUCUGCGCAUCACCUUGUUACCUUAAAUGAAAGCAAAGUGGCCCCAUCGUAAGCACUGCAUGAGACCACUAUCACUAUUCUGUCGCGCUAACGUCCGCUUUUAUUUUGAAAAAUGUAAAUAGUAAACUAUUAGCAGACGGUUCAAAUGAAAGAUGAAAUUUAAAAAAAAUUU